CUACUAUUUGCCUAAAACAAUCGUCCUUCAGUACCCCGUGCCUAGGGAGGGUCUUCUUGGCAGAGCUGCAACACAGACAGCUGGAUGGGGUUCAUGUCUGGGGCGCAAUAACAACACCCAAGAGCGCUUGCUCUUUUAGCAGCCAACGCAGGCCCUCAUCCAGGACAAGUAGGGCAGGAAUCUACAACAGUGACAUCACCAAGGUGAGACGACGUUUCCCACAGACACUGAGCGUCAAAGGUAAGAAAACCAACUUGGAACUGGUUUGCGCAUAGCGAGGCAGGCCUUCCCCCGGGGGUUGUUUGGACACGCAUUAAAGGGCGUGGAUGACAUGGCCGCCGCGCUCG
This is a long non-coding RNA of Corythoichthys intestinalis (scribbled pipefish), 347 nucleotides long. RefSeq lists it as uncharacterized. NCBI's taxonomy places the organism in Eukaryota, Metazoa, Chordata, Actinopteri, Syngnathiformes, Syngnathidae. The record is from RefSeq and is a predicted model, not a curated record. The transcript has 3 exons.